GUAUUAAUAAAGGGUGAAAUCAAUUUUUUGAUAUACAAAUGGAUAAAUUAUUUUAAAUUGAAUUGAGGUUAUUAAGGUAAAGGUAUGGACCAGGAUUAGAUACCCUGUUACACUUUAUUUAAAAUUAAGAUACCUGGGUAAUAAACAGUUAUUGUCUUGAAACUCAAAGGAUUUGGCGGUAGUCUAGUCUAUUUAGAGGAACCUGUCCUAUAAUCGAUAGUCCACGAAAAAUCUUACUUUAUUUUGUAGAAUUCAGUUUGUAUACCGUCAUUAUUAGAUAACUUUAAUAAAAUAUUUAGUUAUUACAGUAAUUUUUGUUUAAUAUAUUAGAUCAAGGUGCAGCUUAUAGUAAAGGAGAGAUGGGUUACAAUAAAAUAUAUUUAAAAAUGGAUUAAAAGAAGAAUUUUUUUUAUGAAGGUGGAUUUAAUAGUAAGAAAAUUUUAAUAGGGUUUUUUGACUGUAGCUCUAGGUUAUGUACACAUCGCCCGUCGCUCUCGUUAAUUAAAGC
This 508-nucleotide ribosomal RNA is filed under the name Penaeopsis eduardoi. RNAcentral describes it as "partial 12S ribosomal RNA". The record is from RNAcentral. Lineage: Eukaryota; Metazoa; Arthropoda; Malacostraca; Decapoda; Penaeidae.